Podarcis lilfordi (Lilford's wall lizard) is the source of this 72-nucleotide non-coding RNA. The record is from the annotation of a GenBank genome assembly. NCBI's taxonomy places the organism in Eukaryota, Metazoa, Chordata, Lepidosauria, Squamata, Lacertidae.
GAAUUCACUCUCAGUCGGUAGAGCAUGAGACUCUUAAUCUCAUGGUCGUGGGUUCAAGCUGCACAUUGGACA